CCGAAAACUUAAAUGGGUCGACACGAACCCGAACCCGAAAUUAAAUGGGUCAGGUUAAGGUUGAAAAUCUCAACCCGAAAACGACCCACUUAAACCGAAAUAAAUUUUAGGUCAUAAUCAGGUCGGGUCAACCCGAACCCGACCUGAUAACCCGAAUUAGUUUAAGUUUUAAAAAAAAAAACGUAAAAAGCUUUUAUUAGCCCAGCCCAAAUGCACAAAGAGGCUUCCUAUAUAAAUUCAAAACCCUAAAAUAAUCUCAUUUCCCCUCACCUCUUCAGCUGUUUUUCCCCUCACUUCUCUCUCUUUAAUUUUCUCUCUCCUUAAAAACUCAUUAUAUUGUUGAAUUUUCUCUUUAAUUUCCUUCAGCCGUUUACCAUUGUCAAUUUGUCAUCUCCUUCACGGCUUGACUCCUUCACUCCUCCACAAGACGCGUUCCUUAAUUCUUCUCCUUCAUCAAUCAAGGUUUGGCAGCAAGAAGUAAUCACCCAUGUUCAAUUGGAAAUGUUGUGGAUCAAUUUUAAAGCUUGAGGUGGUGAACAAGGAUGACAACCAUGAUAGAUUGACAGUCUCAACAUCGCCCGAUCUUAAUCCAAAUGAAAAUCUUAUUGCAUCUUCUAUUAUUUUAUAGAACUGUAAUUUGUGUUAAAAAAAACUUUUGUCUUUUGAAACUUGGUUUGUAAUUAGUGAAUUGCACUUUUUAUCGGUUUAUAAUCGUUAAUUAGGAUUGUUA
Chenopodium quinoa (quinoa) is the source of this 730-nucleotide long non-coding RNA. RefSeq lists it as uncharacterized. Lineage: Eukaryota; Viridiplantae; Streptophyta; Magnoliopsida; Caryophyllales; Amaranthaceae. The transcript has 2 exons. The record is from RefSeq and is a predicted model, not a curated record.